GUUGUAGCUCAGUGGUAGAGCGCUCUCCUGGCAUGUGUGAGGCACUGGGUUAGAUUCUCAGCCCAACA
This 68-nucleotide transfer RNA is filed under the name Marmota monax (woodchuck). It matches the Rfam family "tRNA". Rfam says of the family: Transfer RNA (tRNA) molecules are approximately 80 nucleotides in length. Their secondary structure includes four short double-helical elements and three loops (D, anti-codon, and T loops). The record is from Rfam by way of RNAcentral. Lineage: Eukaryota; Metazoa; Chordata; Mammalia; Rodentia; Sciuridae.